AAAAUGGAUUCACUUGAAUCCACUUAAUCAUUUCAAAGUUAUUUACU
Trachymyrmex cornetzi is the source of this 47-nucleotide non-coding RNA. Lineage: Eukaryota; Metazoa; Arthropoda; Insecta; Hymenoptera; Formicidae. The record is from Rfam.